Molecule: ribosomal RNA, 1408 nt
Filed under: Lactiplantibacillus plantarum
Lineage: Bacteria; Bacillati; Bacillota; Bacilli; Lactobacillales; Lactobacillaceae
Description: bacterial SSU rRNA
Rfam family: Bacterial small subunit ribosomal RNA
Source: RNAcentral
GAACGAACUCUGGUAUUGAUUGGUGCUUGCAUCAUGAUUUACAUUUGAGUGAGUGGCGAACUGGUGAGUAACACGUGGGAAACCUGCCCAGAAGCGGGGGAUAACACCUGGAAACAGAUGCUAAUACCGCAUAACAACUUGGACCGCAUGGUCCGAGUUUGAAAGAUGGCUUCGGCUAUCACUUUUGGAUGGUCCCGCGGCGUAUUAGCUAGAUGGUGGGGUAACGGCUCACCAUGGCAAUGAUACGUAGCCGACCUGAGAGGGUAAUCGGCCACAUUGGGACUGAGACACGGCCCAAACUCCUACGGGAGGCAGCAGUAGGGAAUCUUCCACAAUGGACGAAAGUCUGAUGGAGCAACGCCGCGUGAGUGAAGAAGGGUUUCGGCUCGUAAAACUCUGUUGUUAAAGAAGAACAUAUCUGAGAGUAACUGUUCAGGUAUUGACGGUAUUUAACCAGAAAGCCACGGCUAACUACGUGCCAGCAGCCGCGGUAAUACGUAGGUGGCAAGCGUUGUCCGGAUUUAUUGGGCGUAAAGCGAGCGCAGGCGGUUUUUUAAGUCUGAUGUGAAAGCCUUCGGCUCAACCGAAGAAGUGCAUCGGAAACUGGGAAACUUGAGUGCAGAAGAGGACAGUGGAACUCCAUGUGUAGCGGUGAAAUGCGUAGAUAUAUGGAAGAACACCAGUGGCGAAGGCGGCUGUCUGGUCUGUAACUGACGCUGAGGCUCGAAAGUAUGGGUAGCAAACAGGAUUAGAUACCCUGGUAGUCCAUACCGUAAACGAUGAAUGCUAAGUGUUGGAGGGUUUCCGCCCUUCAGUGCUGCAGCUAACGCAUUAAGCAUUCCGCCUGGGGAGUACGGCCGCAAGGCUGAAACUCAAAGGAAUUGACGGGGGCCCGCACAAGCGGUGGAGCAUGUGGUUUAAUUCGAAGCUACGCGAAGAACCUUACCAGGUCUUGACAUACUAUGCAAAUCUAAGAGAUUAGACGUUCCCUUCGGGGACAUGGAUACAGGUGGUGCAUGGUUGUCGUCAGCUCGUGUCGUGAGAUGUUGGGUUAAGUCCCGCAACGAGCGCAACCCUUAUUAUCAGUUGCCAGCAUUAAGUUGGGCACUCUGGUGAGACUGCCGGUGACAAACCGGAGGAAGGUGGGGAUGACGUCAAAUCAUCAUGCCCCUUAUGACCUGGGCUACACACGUGCUACAAUGGAUGGUACAACGAGUUGCGAACUCGCGAGAGUAAGCUAAUCUCUUAAAGCCAUUCUCAGUUCGGAUUGUAGGCUGCAACUCGCCUACAUGAAGUCGGAAUCGCUAGUAAUCGCGGAUCAGCAUGCCGCGGUGAAUACGUUCCCGGGCCUUGUACACACCGCCCGUCACACCAUGAGAGUUUGUAACACCCAAAGUCGGUGGGGUAA